RNAcentral lists this ribosomal RNA (250 nucleotides) under uncultured bacterium. RNAcentral's name for it is "partial 16S ribosomal RNA". It matches the Rfam family "Bacterial small subunit ribosomal RNA", at positions 524 to 773 of the family's 1533-position model. The record is from RNAcentral.
UACGGAGGGUGCGAGCGUUGUCCGGAAUCACUGGGCGUAAAGGGCGCGUAGGCGGUUCUUCAAGCGUGUGGUGAAAGUCCGGGGCUCAACCCCGGAUCGGCCGUGCGAACUGGGGAACUCGAGCACUGUAGAGGCGGGUGGAAUUCCGGGUGUAGCGGUGGAAUGCGUAGAGAUCCGGAAGAACACCAGUGGCGAAGGCGGCCCGCUGGGCAGUGGCUGACGCUGAGGCGCGACAGCGUGGGGAGCAAAC